UACAGAGGUCCCAAGCGUUGUUCGGAUUCAUUGGGCGUAAAGGGUGCGUAGGCGGCGCGGGAAGUCGGGUGUGAAAUCUCGGAGCUUAACUCCGAAACUGCAUUCGAUACUGCCGUGCUUGAGGACUGGAGAGGAGACUGGAAUUUACGGUGUAGCGGUGAAAUGCGUAGAUAUUCGCAAGAACACCAGUGGCGAAGGCGGCUCACUGGCCCGGUACUGACGCUGAGGUGCGAAAGCGUGGGGAGCAAACAGG
This 253-nucleotide ribosomal RNA is filed under the name uncultured bacterium. Its description in RNAcentral is "partial 16S ribosomal RNA". It matches the Rfam family "Bacterial small subunit ribosomal RNA", at positions 524 to 776 of the family's 1533-position model. The record is from RNAcentral.